Molecule: ribosomal RNA, 412 nt
Filed under: uncultured bacterium
Lineage: Bacteria
Description: bacterial SSU rRNA
Rfam family: Bacterial small subunit ribosomal RNA
Source: RNAcentral
GUGUCAGCAGCCGCGGUAAUACGAAGGGGGCUAGCGUUGUUCGGAAUUACUGGGCGUAAAGGGCGCGUAGGCGGCCGAUCGAGUCAGGCGUGAAAAUCCCGGGCUUAACCUGGGGACUGCGCUUGAGACUGAUGGGCUUGAAUUCGGGAGAGGAUGGCGGAAUUCCCAGUGUAGAGGUGAAAUUCGUAGAUAUUGGGAAGAACACCGGUGGCGAAGGCGGCCAUCUGGCCCGAGAUUGACGCUGAGGCGCGAAAGCGUGGGGAGCAAACAGGAUUAGAUACCCCUGGUAGUCCACGCUGUAAACGAUGAGUGCUAGACGCUGGGGGGAUUCCUUUCGGUGUCGCAGCUAACGCAUUAAGCACUCCGCCUGGGGAGUACGGCCGCAAGGUUAAAACUCAAAUGAAUUGGCGGG